This 167-nucleotide ribosomal RNA is filed under the name uncultured Syntrophus sp. Its description in RNAcentral is "partial 16S ribosomal RNA". It matches the Rfam family "Bacterial small subunit ribosomal RNA", at positions 1218 to 1382 of the family's 1533-position model. The record is from RNAcentral. Lineage: Bacteria; Pseudomonadati; Thermodesulfobacteriota; Syntrophia; Syntrophales; Syntrophaceae.
ACACGUGCUACAAUGGGUGGUACAAAGAGCAGCCAGCUCGCGAGAGUGAGCAAAUCUCAAAAAGCCAUCCUCAGGUUCGGAUUGGAAGUCUGCAACUCGACUUCAUGAAGUUGGAAUCGCCAGUAAUCGCGGAUCAGCAUGCCGCGGUGAAUACGUCCCCGGGCCUU